Molecule: transfer RNA, 110 nt
Filed under: Claviceps purpurea (ergot fungus)
Lineage: Eukaryota; Fungi; Ascomycota; Sordariomycetes; Hypocreales; Clavicipitaceae
Description: tRNA-Ala
Rfam family: tRNA
About the family: Transfer RNA (tRNA) molecules are approximately 80 nucleotides in length. Their secondary structure includes four short double-helical elements and three loops (D, anti-codon, and T loops). Further hydrogen bonds mediate the characteristic L-shaped molecular structure. tRNAs have two regions of fundamental functional importance: the anti-codon, which is responsible for specific mRNA codon recognition, and the 3' end, to which the tRNAs corresponding amino acid is attached (by aminoacyl-tRNA synthetases). tRNAs cope with the degeneracy of the genetic code in two manners: having more than one tRNA (with a specific anti-codon) for a particular amino acid; and 'wobble' base-pairing, i.e. permitting non-standard base-pairing at the 3rd anti-codon position.
Source: RNAcentral
GGGCUUGUGGUCUAGGGGUAUGAUCUUCGUUUCGCACCUGUGAAAGUUCGUCUGAGCUAUCAGUAAUAGUUGCCUAUGAAUGGUCCCGGGUUCAAUUCCCGGCGAGUCCA